RNAcentral lists this non-coding RNA (27 nucleotides) under Mus musculus (house mouse). The record is from RNAcentral. Lineage: Eukaryota; Metazoa; Chordata; Mammalia; Rodentia; Muridae.
UUCACAAGCUUGACAGCUCCCCACUUC